AGAACGAACGCUGGCGGCAUGCCUAACACAUGCAAGUCGAACGAGACCUUCGGGUCUAGUGGCGCACGGGUGCGUAACGCGUGGGAAUCUGCCCUUGGGGUUCGGAAUAACAGUUGGAAACGACUGCUAAUACCGGAUGAUGCCGUAAGUCCAAAGAUUUAUCGCCCAGGGAUGACGCCCGCGUAGGAUUAGCUAGUUGGUGAGGUAAAGGCUCACCAAGGCGACGAUCCUUAGCUGGUCUGAGAGGAUGAUCAGCCA
This 258-nucleotide ribosomal RNA is filed under the name uncultured soil bacterium. Its description in RNAcentral is "partial 16S ribosomal RNA". It matches the Rfam family "Bacterial small subunit ribosomal RNA", at positions 26 to 310 of the family's 1533-position model. The record is from RNAcentral.